This is a long non-coding RNA of Pseudopipra pipra, 10858 nucleotides long. RefSeq lists it as uncharacterized. Lineage: Eukaryota; Metazoa; Chordata; Aves; Passeriformes; Pipridae. The record is from RefSeq and is a predicted model, not a curated record. The transcript has 3 exons.
AGGGUGGUUUGGAACUGUGCCCUCUGUUUCUGUACCUCUGUUGCAGCUCUGUCCCUGUCACUGGCACAGCGAGAAGGGGCACUCUGUGGUCUGAUGGGUCGGAAGGCACGAGAGGACACGGCCUGGGGGACACACACAGGUCAAACCCCUGCAGUCAGCUCUGCCAGGGUUGAGGGUGAGCAGUUGCACUGAGCCCUUGGCAGGGCUGAGGGUACAGGGGUUCUGCCCAGCUCAAAGUAUUUCUCGCUAGAGCCAUCUCUCUUUUGACUUCUCCAUGCAGGAUCCAAGAGCAAGCCAUUUUCACAUGGAUUAAUGGAGUUUUUGGCAUUAGCAACAAUGGUAAAACUUGCCAGGCACCAUGACUGGGCUUUUGAGCACUGUCUGGUUCUUACAUGACGUAGCUAAAUGGUCUCAGCUUGCACAUGUGAAUUUAAUGGCACAAAAAAAAAAUCUAAUCUUUCCUUUAGACACACUGUCUUGUAACAAGGGUUAUUCUAAUUACUGCAAUAUAUAGUUUCUACUGUGCUUUAUCUAUUCUGUCACAUUCUCUAUGAUCCCCACAUGAAUUACAUGUUGUUCUUUUGUGUUUUGGCAAUCACUGAUAUGAAAGGCUGAGAAUCUGUUAAUUGGGGCACCUGCUCCCUGGAGGUUUUGCUCAGUAUGAAACAGGAUGACUAUUAAGUUACCUUGGAGAUAUAGGGAAAAUUUUAGUGUAUAUUAGCUCAUGAUGGCUUUAAAGAAAAGAAAUGCUUUGUAGUUAUAUAAUUAUUUUAUCAGUUGGGGAAGGGAGGGGGUUCAGCUGUUAGACUUCUGGGGUUUUAGUGAUUCCAGUGGGAGCUGGGUGUCUAAAUCCCACCAAAGGCUAACUCCCUUGGUGCUAGCCAAGCCAACACUGCACACUGUAACCCCAAGGCAGGUUAUAAUCACUGGUGUUAAUUACAUUACACACUUAAUUAUAAAUGUCCAGCUCUGUUUUACAUUCUGAAUUUUCAAUGUGCCUUGAAGUAACCAAAAAGUCUAAACACUUUUUCUCUUCUUGUUUUGGACAAUUUGUCAUAAAAAGUACAUCCAGCCACAGAACUGAUGGUGGCAGCCCACAAUGGCAUGUGGGAACAGUAAGCUGUGAAAUGAGUAGUAAAUAGUAAGAUGUGCUGUUAUAUCCAGAGGAAUUGUACUGGACUGGAGUAACUCACCACUGUGGCCCCAGGGGCACUGAAGGUCACUGGGCACUGGGAGCUGGAUGAGUGGAGUCCAACCAGAGCUGUGGAGGUCAAGGAAGAGCAUCCCAAUGGCUUUGCAGCAGGAGCAAUGACCCUUGCUUUGUUUCUGCAGAUUCUCCUUCCAAACCCAUGUCAUGAUGAGGAUGAUGAUGAUGAAGGCUGCAAUUUCUCUCUCUCACUAAGAGCAACCUGGGAAUUUCUGGUAUUUCCCACAGGCUCUUCCAGUCCUUUGUCAGUAGUCCUCCCUUCCUGCUGUGCUGCAUCAGCAAGGUCUACGUCCAGACAGAAGGUAAAAGCCCAUACAUCCUUUAUUUGAGCAUUUCACAAAUAAAUUACAGGUUUCUUUGCAACCACGUCAUAAAUCAAAACGUUUAUUUACACCUCAGAAACAGCAAGCAAUUCAGCAACUAGGGCCCAAAGGAACGAUUAACUGGAAAAGUAACUGAAUUAAGUAUCUUUAAAAUCAAACAAAAUAUUUUCCUCCUUGCUUGAACUUUAAGAAAAAGAAAGAAAAUCAUAAAAAAGAAAAAAUAUUGAUGGCAACUUAAAAAGACAAGCGUUGUUAUGGGGUAGAUGUGAUUUACAGGAGGGUUCUGUCUGAAAUGGCAGUAAAAACACAGCUUGUUUGUACUGAGUUCACCAUCACAGUCCACCAGACGGGGUCUUACUCUCCAGUCCCAGCCCCAGGCAGGGUGUGAAUGGGACACACACUCAGUCUGGCCUUUGGCUACGUUCAUUUUAACCCCAAAUUAUCAGAUACAGUCAUUUGCUGAUGCAGAGGAGGAGUGUAAUGUUCAAGGCUGGACGAAGCUUUCCCAAACAGCUGUCCCACUGAAAGCACAGGAAUGCAGAAUUCUGCCUCUAACCCCUUCCCUUUCCACUACUGGUGACCUGCUGAUAAACAGACAACUAAAAAUGAGUCAGUAAACAAUUAUGCAUAUCUUCAAAUGAUAUAAUUGUGUUAAGAGGGGACAGCUACAGGCAGCAUAAAUACAGCAUGAGAGUUGGGAUAAGUCUGGGUUUUACUUUGUGGGUUCUUUUGCCUUUUUUCUUUGCUUUAAAUCAGAUUAGUCCAGCACAUGUAACACAUGCUGUCCCUUAACUCACAUUUUCAUCCAUAACUGAAGGAAUUAAACUGCUUAUUCCAAGUCUCCAUGCUGUAUCAGUCUCCCUCCACCUGCAUAUAUUAUAUAUAUAUAUUUAUAUGUGUAUAUCUCUAUAUAUCUACAUAUAUACACACAUAGCAGUUGUGCAACUAGUAACUUUCCACUGAGAGUGCAUGAGUACAUCCAUUCCAUGUGGACAAGCACAAACCAGUUCGUGUAUCCCAGGGGGAAGCAAGAGAAGUGUGGUCAGUGGGUUAUGUGCUUUACACAGGAAAUAAUCAGCUAUAUCUGCUUUAGGUAGAAUGGUUAUAAUGAUAAUUACUAAAGUACUUUGCAUAUUAAUUCUAAAGAUUAUAGAUCACAGAGUUAAUUGAAAGAAAAUAAUUGCUAUUUUAUUUAUCUUUUUGCUAGCAUUGGACAGUAUCUCUCAGACAACUGAAUUUCUAGAGAUGCAAUAAAAGCAAGAUAGAAUCAGAGUUUUGCUUUUGACUUGGUGUUCUCAAGCUGAUGUGACUUUAAUUUAUAUUGUGAGAGGUUUUUUUUUUUUAAAUUAAAUAAGACAUUAUUGAAUUAAUUCUGAAAAUAACUUGGCCUUUAGACAAAGUGUUGUAAAGUUAUUUGUGUACAGAUUUCUGCUGUUUCAAGGGGCUGAGUGCAUUAGUAACAUUUGAGAAGAAAAUUGGCAGCUUUCUCAGUAUUCCAAACAGAAGAUCUUUAAAAAAGGAAAGACAAAAUUUGUCAGUAUAAUAUAUGUCUUUUUGUAGCGAUAAGACAUUUAAUCAAGGACCCUAAAAACUGAUUGUAAGUCCAUAAUUUAAUAGAUGAGGUUUGUAUCACAGUGAUCCUGAACUUAAGUGACUAUGCAAGGGAACAGGACAAAUUAUUUGGCCACAGCCACUCAAAAUAAAGGUUAAACCCAAUUAUUCUGGGUGCCUCAGAGACACAUUGAAGUGGUCAGUGAAGGACACGAGGCAUCUGAGCUGUAGGUUCUCUGUAUGCCACAAAAGACAGACUUCUGAUACUGUGUAAGCACUCAGCAACCCUGUGACAAAUAUUGCAGCUUUACUGUGCAGAGCCCACCAGUAAAAGCAAUAUGUGGGGAGGUUUAGAUGAAAAAUUUCAUCUGAGUAUGAUUAACUGAGUCUCAGUUCCAGCAAUGGAGUUGCUCUUUGAUUUACAGCAGUGUAAACAUGAUGAGAACAGGGCUCAGAGGGUGCAUUAGCCAGUGUUCCACUCUCACCUAAUUUUCCUUGAUACCCAGCAGGAAAUUCAGCUCCUUUUCCCUUUGUUUUACUCUUCAGCUCUACAGUUACUGAACAAAAUGUAUGUUAAUAAAUGCACACGGAUAUCUUGUAAAAACACACACGUGAGGUGUACAAAGGGUUCAAUUAGCAAGUGCACCAAAUACGAGACCUUUCUCUUGCCAAGAAACUCCUCUCACUGAUGGUUAUUCCCAGUUUUUGUUUCAACGGCAGAUUUCAAGUGAAAUGAUUUUUAAACAAAAAGUUUUGUGCAUGUUAGAAAAUGAUAAUCAAGUUUCCCUGCCUUUCCAACUCUAGACAGCAAUAUGUAUCUACAAACACAGACAGAAAUAAAUGUUGUAGUGAUUAAAUAGCUACGUAGGAAUAAGUGAUAUGUUAUAAAAACAGCAAGCUUGGCUGAAUAGAUGUUAAACAUAAUUAACUAUUAAAAUAAUACAACCAAUUUUGUAAAUUUUCUAUUUUUUUCAUUAUAUUGUAGAAAAAAAAAACCCAAACAAAUAAAUUAUUGUUGCUCCUUUGUUUCAGGAAACGGGCAUCGUUUUUUUUGAGCCAGAGAUGACAACCUUCUUCAGGGAGGAAAUCUCAGCUUCUGACACGAUUCCUCCUCGUGUAACGCUGCAGGACGUGCCACGGACUUGUGUUACAUGUUCUCAGGUACAGAGAAGGAGAAACAUUAACAUGGCAGCUUCAUCUUCUCUUUGCAUGCUCAGGUAAGUCCAGUGAUCAGCUCUGUGUGAAGCCCAGACACAUGGUAAAGGCUGGGAGGCUUUAAUGUGGGUGCAGAGAUAAAGGGGUAACGUGACUGAAGGCUUUGAUGCAUCUUGGUUCAGAGUUUCAGCCACCUCUCUGCACGUCCAAAGGUUGCAGAGUUAUCCAAGAAGAAAGAUCUCUUAUCCUUGGGCACAGAGUGGUAGAAAGAGUUCUUCGGCGUAGUUCCAGGCAGAAGAGCUUUUCCUUUGUUCCUCAUUUUGGAUGGAAUGAUCCAAAAAAUGCUCUGUGAGCCUUGGUUUAAAGGAGAGAAGGGCAGCUUUCUCUGGUACUCAAUAGAAAGGACACCAAUGUCAAGAGGUGUCUUUCCAGGGUUUUGCUGGAUAGAGAGAGGAAGAAAGCAAGUAGAAAAGGAGUAUUUGUGGGGGAGGAUAUUAUAAUUUCUUUUAUUGAAGAUAGAGGUUUUGUAGAUCAAAGCACAGGGUGCAGAAAAUCUUUGGGUGCAACAUACAUGUCGGAAAUUCAGUGGUGUUAUACAUUGGUUGAGUUUUUUUUUCCCUUCUGAAAAAUUUUGCUUGAAAAUAAUAUAUAUAUUUUUUUAAAAAGACGUGUGAUUGUUGAUGACAAAGCAGCAGCAUAUGGUUAUCACAAGGCAUGGGCAGAGAAAGAGAACCAGAAGCUUGCCCAUGUUAGUGUUUGAGAUCAGGCACUUCCCUGCUGGAAUGCCUGCAGCUGCCAACAGCCCACUCCUGAUGUCCUUGACCAAGAGAAGCUCCUGCUCACCCCGAAGUACCACUUUGGUAACUGAGACACCGAGAGCCUCCUGCAAGAGAAACGGGGUCAGGAGGAGGUUUCACUUGGUCAGAACUGCAGGAGUUAAGCUGAAAGAGAAAAAUAAGUUCCUGUCUGAAGGCAGCUCAUAUCUUAUCAGGAAAUCUACAACGUUAGGAAAGCUCACAACACAAACUCAUUUUUCCUCUGUCGCUGUUGUUAUUACUCCUUUUGAUUAAAAAAAGAAAGAAAAAAAAAACCUGUUUCAUAUUUGGUACAAUACAGGAAGUCAGAGAAAAGCUAUUGUACAGCAAAUUUUAACCACCAACACACAUUUAAUAUCUAGUGUAGCAUUAUGGAAAACCAAAUGUAUGUUUGGACUUUUUAAUGCUUCCAAAAAUCUUUACUAUUGAAACAUAGACGUGGUGUGGAAGAUAUGCUCAUAAUCUCACUGUAGUAAAGAUGACAUACAGUAUGACUCAUAAGUACUGUAAAAAUGCUAACUAAAGAAUGCAGCUGCAAAGUUCUAUUGCAUAAGGAAGCUUUCUUGUUUAAACUUUAAAUAAGCAAGUUUAUUAAAAUAUUCUAAGACACUUACCUUACCCUAGUUACUGGCAAGCUCUAAUAAAAGCCACAGUCUGUCACUAGUAUACUUUUUUGUGUUAAUUUUAUAAAAAUUUGGUGUGAGCUUUGAUGGAUCAUUUACAAUUUAUUAACAAGAUGAUCAUCUUCGUACAGUUAGAAGGGUUUUUCUGACCUUACAUGCUCACAGAAUAAAAAAAGGAUCCAUAUUCCUAUAGAACGAACACCCUUUUUUUUUCCCAUGUCUGCAAACGAGUGUGGUAAGUUUACACACACAAAGAAAUGCUCUUGUUACUCUUAACUGGAAACUGUGUGUACAUGUGUAUGUAUGUAUAUAUAUAUUCAAAAGUAUAUAUAUGUGUGUUUGUGAGGAUAUUUAUAGAAUGGGGCAUCUGUGACCUCCUGGCGCUCACGUGGGGGACGGGGCAGCGCAGGGGCCGAGAGAGAGACCAGUGCUCUGGGAAACACUGAGCUUCUGCUGCUUGGAUCAGCUGCUCACCUGCAGGUAUCUGCUCACCUCCCCCUGUGUGCAGAGCUGACAAAGGCUGAAAUGUUGUCAGCAGCCCCAGCAAAUGAUUUACCCCCUUUAGCCCCUCUAAAAUCAGGCCCAGCGCUGCCCUCGCUGUAGGCGGUGACCCUCCCAGCUGGCUGCUCCUCCUGGGUCAUAAACUCCAUUUGGGGCAGAAGGAAAGCAGUUCAGAUCAGGAACAAGCCCAGGGGACUUGCAUUUCUUGUUUGCUGAACCUGAGGUAUGAGAAGAGCCACGUCAGAGCCCUGGGCCUGCCUGGUUCGUGUCAGCACAGUGGUGGGAUGGCAACGGGGUCUCUCCUCCUGGCCACACUAUAAACAGCAAAUACAGUAGGUUUAGCCAUGGUAGAACAGGUACAAUUCAUCUGUGGCUGUAUUAUUCUGCUUUCUCCCUUGAUCCAGAUGAAUAUUUUAUAAAAGCUAAACCUGUGGUAGAACUCUCUAUAUAAAUAUAUAUAUAUACAUACACUCAUACAUAUACAAAUACUAACCCACAGACAAAAUAUUUUCUGAACAGUUGAAUAGCAACAAGUCAACAGAUAGAAAAAAAUGGAGUCAAUCUGUUUUCUGCUCCCCCAGGGUCGGGUUUAGAUGUCAUGGUCUUUUAACAUUCAGAGAAAAUUGGCGUAAACCUUGUGUCUGGCAAGAGGAAUCCAUGGAGAAAGGGAAGUGGGGCAGAAGCCCUCGAACACCAAGGUACAGUCGGACAGGUUGAGUGAGGUUGCAAAUUAAACUGGAGCAACUGAGGCCGAGUAGUGAAGAACAGUAACUGUAAACUGCAAUCUUCAGAUCUGACGGUUUCCUUCUUCUCGUUGCCGUGGCAACUCGGCAGGACAGCUUCGAAUGGCAGGAAUUCUUACAGACCUAAAGGACGGGAGAUGGGGCUGGGGCUUGUCCAGAUGGGCUGAGCAGCAAAGCAGGCACCUGGAUGGCCCUCACCUGCCUGGCCUUUCCCUGCAGCACCACCUCAGCUUUGGAAAACAAAGGUUAAGUAAAGCAAAUUAUGCAAGCGUAAGAAAUCUAUGGAGGGACUGAUGGAUGGGGCUCACUGAAGCGAGAAGUUUCACUGAGAUUUCCAAACUAGCUGAAAUCUGGAAUUGCUUGGUAUGUAGGUUUUUAGCAUGCUGCCUAAAGAAAACGUCUGGCCACAGAAUCAGGAUCCUGACUUACAUAUAGGAGAUUUAUGGCCAUGACUGCCAAAGUGUGGAUAUAUUUGGAUUAGGGAUUCCAGCUAGGACUAAAUUCUCAUAAACAACCUGAUCUCCUGGGUUGUUGCAAAGCAAGAAUUUGGGACUCUGAUCUCACAGACCACCUGAAAAAUAGCAUUUCCAGAUCUCAAUGGAGCUUAGUGGCAUUAAAGGGCAUUUGUUUAAACCUGGCUCAAAAGAACUAUUGGAUUGGCAAAGCUACUCUGAAUCCUUAGGAGAUCCCUGGAGGUCUUCCUGGUAGGGACAGGCACUUGUAGAUGAUAAAUGAACUGAAUUUCUGAGGCACUGAAUUUCUGUACAAUCCAUAGAAACUUCACCAGAGGAAUCUGUCAGCACAAAAUUUAUAAGUAUCACACAAAUUCAAGCAGCCAGUGACUGCUUCACCAACAGCUUGUAAAUAAAGGGCAGUGUUUGGUGAUUUAUGUGCAGACCUGAAGAAAAGCUUGUAUAUUUUACAUCAUAUUGACAGAUAUAAUGAAUGUUACUCCCUUCUCAUACACCUUGCCUUUCCUGAGUAAAUGAUGUAUAAAAACUAGUUAGUUCAGCCUUAAUUAUGAAUCUGUUCUUUCCUGUGCCAGUUCUUUGUGUUGAAGGCCAGUUUCUCUCUCUCUCACAAUAUAAGCACUUUUUGAUCCUCCCUGUUAUCCCACCUGCCUCUUCAAGCACCACCCCAUCCCUUACCCUUUUACCUCAAAGCUCUGCAGUCCCUGGCCAGACUUUCUUUCUACUGAAAUUGCUUCGCAACUUCACCUUCCUGACCUAUCAUCCCCCUUCCACCCAUUUAAUCACGUGCCUGGAAAGCUGAUGUUCCCUUGGCUCCUGUGAUUAUCUCCUCCUGUCAUUUUACUAUGAUUUCUCUAAUUGUUUUUCCAUCGUGUCCUUCUGUCUCAUCUCUCCCUUCCAUUUUUUUGGGAAAACCCUUUUUCCCCCCACUUUAACUUCUUCCUUUUCACUGUGACACCAUUCCUAACCCCUCAGCAACCACAUCAAUACUGACAGUCCAGAGAUCUUACUCUCUUUUCCUGCUUUUCCAUUUAGUCCAAAGUGUCAGCCUCUAGCCCUGAUACCUUUUGCAUGUGUAGCUGACAGCUCUACAGAGCUAAAACUCAGCUCUUAAAUCUUUCCCCUAAAGCACUCCCUUCUAGUUCUUCCUUUGAUUGCUCAGGACAACAUUAUCAUCCUGCCUCUUGUUCAAGCCUAGAAACAGAAGCAAACAGGAGGAGGUUUUUGUCAUGGAAUCUCCUCUCCAGGUCUGUAUAUUUAGCUUAUGUCAAUCUAGAGGAUUCUUUUUCACACAUUGUCCCAAAGAGCUUUCUCCAGCCAUUCAAACAGCUAAAUCUCCUACCCAGGCUCUCCUCAGUGAGCAGGUUUGCAGCAUCUUUUCUGAGCCCUUGACAAAUUGAAGCUCCUGUGUGCUCAUACCCUGUCAGUUUUUGCUGUACAGAGCAUUUUCCUCAUCUGCCACUUUGACAAAACCUCUGCAGCUGCGACUCCUUCACGGCCUCUUCCCUACUGCACACGUGUCCCUGGAUUAUCUCUACAUGACCUGUUUUCCUCCCAUUCAUAGCUUUCACUGACAUGUUUUCAAAGAAACCUGUGAUAUGGGAGGAGCUCCCUGCAAGCCUCCAUAAAAUGCUGUCUCCUAACAGCUGCUUUUGCUGACACCUCUGCAAAACUCUUGGCCUUGGCAAAGGGGGCCAAGAGUGCUGUGAAUUCAGCUCAGCCCUUUCACCAGCCUCGGCUGAAGUUGUGUUAAAAGAAUUGCCUUGUUCCAAACACUGCCUGGAAGAACAGUAAGUCUCUGCUCGUUAAUGAUGAUUGACCCUUUUGUAAAGGUGGAUUGCUGAAGGAGUGGGGUUUGCCUCUAAAAAUCAGAUUCAACCUUCAAAAUUAUGGGCUGUAAAACCUCAGUAGAUAACCAGCUUUGGUAAGUAAGAAUACACAAGUUCAAAUCUAUCUUGGCUCUUUCUAUUGCACAUAAAGGUGAUCAAAAAUUGCUUCUGUCCUAUAGAGAAGUUAGUUUAAAUUUUAGUUUCUUUGGUUUUAAUAAGAGAGUGUCAGUUACUGAUUUUUUUCCUACAAAUAGUCUGAUAUAGUCAUGUAAAUUGUUAUUGGCCAAACAUUCUGGCCAGUAACUCCCUUAACACAAAAUCUGCAGAAAUCAAGAACAACCACAGAUUGUACAGAAAAAAUCAAUGUUGAAUCUGCUGAAACCAACACAACUGCUCUGUUAUAAAAUCUGAUAAGCCUCUGGUCCAUAUUUAAAAUCUCUCUUCUCCCAGAUGGAUUUCCAAUGUCUGUUAUUUUCUCUGUAGGAAUUGUAGUUUUCUUGUUUGCUUUUCUUUUUCUUUAUUCUCCCCAUAAAGAAGGACCAAAUGAAAUUUCCAGAAAAGCACACACCCAGCCAAAUUAUUAGCAUCUACUUCUUAUUUGAGCUCUGUUUCUAAACAGCUAUCCUAAAGAAUCCUAGUAUUUAUCCACUACUUCAAUGGGGUUGUAUUUGUUUUUAGUUUUUUUAACCUAUUCUUAUGUAUUUUAUGAUACAUAUGAUUUAAAGUUUGCAGAUGGCAACAACACAUAGAAGAUAUUAGUACUUAAAGAACACUGUGAGCAUAAAAUGUGCAAAUAAUGUGUGCAAGAGACACAUUUGCUGAUCAGGGUGAACAAUUUCUUUUAAGAAUUUAAUGCCCUAGUAAGCCUGUGCCUGGGAGAUCUGCAGAGUAAUGAUAAUUACACCUAGUAAUUAUUUUAUUUUCUUUUUAUUAGCUCUGUCUCCAUAACUGGUCUCAGCACUCAAGAAUUAUUACAACACCAUGUGUUGUUUCAGAUGUGAUUUCUGUGCCUACAACAGGUAAUUUUUUUGCCCAAAGCUGGAGACCUGCAAGCCACAAAGGUGGGGCUGCAUCUUUGCUCUCACCUGGCCACCCCCCACCUUUCCCUGAAGGGGUCUGGGGGAUGCACAAGUACCACUAAACCAGCAUUUCUAUAUGGGACUUAUUUCUUCAGAAAUCUCUCCCACUGAAGUCUUUAAUGUGAUUCCCACUAAUUUUAUCUCACAGUUCUCUGCUCUACCUCUUCAACACCUGACAUACAUUCAGCCACGUUCCUUUUAAGAUAACAGUCAAACAGCAAGAUAAGAGUGAAAAAACCAGGGUUAUUGCUCUGUGUUUGUUGUCAGAAUUAUUACUGGUCUGGUUAAUGGUCUCAGAUAAGAAAGCAGAGCACAUUACAAACAGCUGGUGUCUGUUGGCACUCGUGCUCUGGCACUGGAAGAUGAUGUUUGCUUUUGCUGGUCAAGAACACUGACAAAUGUGGUACAUGUUUCUCUGGGUCUGAUGUACUAAUAGUGCUACUAAUAAUUAAUAUUAAUAAUAAUGCUAUAGGAAUAGAGGGCUAGGUAGAUGGUUUAGGGAAGGGAGACUUGUAAUUUAGAAACUUAAAUGGAAUAAACCCCUGUUUUUAUUUCCACUGAA